CUCAUAGCGUAUAUUAAUGUUGUUGCAGUUAAAAAGCUCGUAGUUGGAUUCCUGACCUGGGGUAGCCGGUCCGCCUUGCAAAAGGUGCGCACUGAGCGGCCUCGGUCAUCCUUGAGAAGAGCGGUCCUGGCAUUCAGUUGUCGGGGUCGGGAUUCUCGACGUUUACUGUGAAAAAAUCAGAGUGUUCAACGCAGGCUUACGCCUUGAAUACAUUAGCAUGGAAUAAUGAGAUAGGACCUUGGCGGUCUAUUUUGUUGGUUUGCACGCCGAGGUAAUGAUUAAAAGGGACGGUUGGGGUUCUUCGUAUUCAAUUGUCAGAGGUGAAAUUCUUGGAUUUAUGGAAGACGAACUGCUGCGAAAGCGUCGAACAAGGACGUUCUCAUUAAUCAAGAACGAAAGUUAGGGGAUCGAAGAUGAUUAGAUACCAUCGUAGUCUUAACCAUAAACUAUGCCGAUUCAGGAUUGGCGGUCGUUUGUUCUCGACUCCGUCAGCACUGUAUGAGAAAUCAAAAUCUUUGGGU
RNAcentral lists this ribosomal RNA (521 nucleotides) under uncultured eukaryote. Its description in RNAcentral is "SSU rRNA". It matches the Rfam family "Eukaryotic small subunit ribosomal RNA", at positions 591 to 1112 of the family's 1831-position model. The record is from RNAcentral.